Microcebus murinus (gray mouse lemur) is the source of this 869-nucleotide non-coding RNA. NCBI's taxonomy places the organism in Eukaryota, Metazoa, Chordata, Mammalia, Primates, Cheirogaleidae. The record is from RefSeq and is a predicted model, not a curated record.
GGUCCCGGCACCUCACGGCCGUCUCCCGGCUGGUCCGGGGGUCCCGGCACCUCAGGGCCGUCUCCCGGCUGGUCGGGGGUCCGGGCACCUCACGGCCGUCUCCCGGCUGGUCGGGGGUCCGGGCACCUCACGGCCGUCUCCCGGCUGGUCGGGGGUCCGGCACCGCCUCGACGCUGGCUCCCCUGGACGCGCAGACCCGACCGCAGCCGUAUCCGAAGCGGACGGCCUCAUGAGGCACCUGCCGUACUUCUGCUGGGGCCAAGUGGUGCGGGGCUUCGGCCGCGGCUCCAAGCAGCUGGGCAUCCUCACAGCUAAUUUUCCUAAACAAGUAGUAGGUAAUCUUCCAGCUGACGUAUCCACUGGCUUUUAUUAUGGUUGGGCCAGGGUUGGAAGUGGAGAUGUCCACAAGAUGGUGGUGAGCAUAGGAUGGAACCCGUACUACAAGAAUACAAAAAAGUCCAUGGAAACUCAUAUCAUGCAUACCUUCAAAGAGGAUUUCUAUGGGGAAAUCCUCAGUGUGGUCAUCGUUGGCUACCUCAGACCAGAAAAGAACUUUGAUUCUUUAGAGUCACUUAUUUCAGCAAUUCGUGGUGAUAUUGAAGAAGCUAAGAAACGACUAGAUCUACCAGAACAUUUGAAACUCAAAGAAGACAAUUUCUUCUGGGUUCCUAAAAGCGAAAUACUGAAUGGCUAUUAACGGAAAAUCAUCUUAUUUAUUCAUUCACUGUUUUUCACUGUUUGUAACUGUCUAGUCUCAUCUUGGUUAUAUUUUAAAAAAUCAUUUUCCUUCUGUGAAUUAAACAGUACAAUGUAGUUACCAUAUUGUGUUUCACCUGUUAAACCCAUCAUGUAAUAGCACUACAGAGAUU